GCUGGAGUGGUGGAGCACAUGGAAAGGAGGGAUCCUGCACAGCAGUUGUUGCUGCAGCAUGAGGACACGAAGUAAGACGAUUCGGAUUCAGGAGACAGACAGAUGAUUGGAGAGUGGAGGACAGAUUGAGGUGUGAGGGAAAAAGAAAUGAACAGAUUAACUAGAGAUGGAGGACAAUUCACAUGGCAGCGAGACGAGUAGGCAAGUGUUUCCUGUUGUCUAGAAAAUGUGAAACAGCAUGCUUGUGUAUAAAUGAAAAUCCAGCAA
Molecule: long non-coding RNA, 267 nt
Organism: Silurus meridionalis
Lineage: Eukaryota; Metazoa; Chordata; Actinopteri; Siluriformes; Siluridae
Exons: 2
Source: RefSeq, a predicted model, not a curated record